ACCACUACUAUUUCCGACAGUCCGUGAAGGCAGCCGCUCAAUCGGAAGGAUUCCUGUUAACGUCUCUGCUCAUGUAAAGCGACCUGAAUGCUUCAGCUUCGUCAACAUGGUCUUGAAUGUUUAUUCAGGCCGUUUCCAGUUUGAUCCCCACCUCGUAGCUUCCUCGCGGGCGUGCUAACACAUUCCUAAUGGAGUCUUUUAACGAGCCCAGCUAGCCUCGCUGCGGACAUUGUUUUCGUCGUAGCCACAAUCGGCUAACCAGUCGUUGUGUUAGCGAACAUGGCGAUUGUGUCUGGCUCCUGUGCCAGGGUGAACGGCUCCAGAAAUGGGCCUUCGGUGUCGGCCACGACAGCCUCUGGCUCCGUGGGGCAGUCUCAGCCCAUGAUAGCGGUCUGGGAGUGGCAGGACGACCUGGGCUACUGGCGGCCUUACAGCGGCCAGGUUAGCGCCUACAUCGAGCGGUGUCUGUCACCGCGCGGCCACCGGGGAGGCGGAGGAGCCGGCGCUACAAGCAUCUGCCUCGGACAGACGGACCCUAGCCUGUCGCCCUACCUCAUAGACAUACCGAGCCUGAAGCAGUUCCGACAGGACACAGGAAAGACGCGCUCCGUGCGUCGGUCCCUGUUCGCCCAGUCCUCUGGCCUCGGCAGCGGCGUCUACUGGGAAUGGGCCAACGACGAAGGCAGCUGGACUCCGUACGAGACCCGGACUUCCAUCCUGUUGGAGCACAGCUACCAGGCGCGCCAGGGCACGGCCGACCUCGGCCCCCACGGAUACAACUACAUCGUGGACCUCACGUCUCUGGCCCAGGUCAAUAAAUCAACGGGAUUCAGGCGGCAGGUGCGGCGGCAGUGCAACCUGCCCUACCCGCUGGCCUCCUCUGGGCCCCCGCCCCCCACCUGUUCCUGCCAGCAGUGUCUGAGCCACAGCAGCACAGGACCAAUGCCCAGCCGCUCGCGACAUUCCUUCUCCUCCAGUAGCCUGAACAGGCCCGUCCUCCAGGGGACGGGGAGGGUCGCUGCUGCUCACCCCGCUUCCGUCUACUCGCCCUACCCCAGGAGACCCCUCUCUGUGGGGGGGAUGUCUUGGGGCAGCCCCUGGCCGCCGCCCUCUGCUGGUCAGAUGUCUGCGCCUCAUCUGAGUGGCUCUCCAAGUGCUAACGGGUUAAGUGUUCCUUCCAUCUCUGUGCAGCUGAACGGCUCCACCAGCGUGAGCUCUGCCCUGGCAGGCAUGGCCUCCAUUUUGAUGUCAGCGGUGGGACUCGGCGUGCACUUCACCUCCGCCCCCCUCCCUCAGCAGCAGCAGCAGCCCCUGCAGCAGCAGCAGCAACAACCUGCUCCUUUUGCUCUUCCUCCUCCUCCUCCUCUCCUCCCCACAGCCAGCAGGCCCCACAGCAGCAGCAGCAGUUCAGUUAGGAGAGCAAAGAGGCAGCACAGGAGAGCGCCAGCCCAGAGGUCAGAAGACGUGAUCCAGCGCUACAUGGAGGUUGUGGCUGACGCUCCAGAGGAGGACUGCAUCAUCUGCAUGGAGCAGCUGUCCAACCCGUCCAGCUACGAGACGCCGCCGUCAGAGGAGGGAGGCCAGAGCAUCGUGCCGCAGGCCGUCGGGAAAUUCAUCAAGUGUGGACACACCCUGCACAUGCUCUGCAUGCUGGCCAUGUACAACAACGGAACAAAGGACGGCAGCCUGCAGUGUCCGUCCUGCAAGACCAUCUACGGAGAGAAGACCGGCACGCAGCCCAAAGGCAAGAUGGAGAUCUACAGCGUCGCUCAGUCCCUGCCUGGUCACCCCGACUGCGGCACCAUUCAGAUCAUCUACAGCAUCCCACCUGGGAUACAGGCCCCGGAGCAUCCCAACCCAGGACAGCCGUUCACCUGCAGGGGGUUUCCUCGCUUCUGUUUCCUCCCCGACAACGACAAGGGCAGGAAGGUAAAACAUGGAGACGAUGUCUGCGUCACGCUGGGAUUCAAUCUGAGCCCAUCAUAACCGAUGUGGGCUGUCGCUGCAGAUCUAACACACAGUCAUCACAUCCACUUCUACAGUCAUCAGUCUCUGAACAUUCAGUUCUCUCUGUCCAACUGGUCAGUGGCAUUAUUACACAGGUCAGGACCUUCUGACCUUCACAGCCUGGAAGCAGCAUGUUGGUAACAACAGUGGAUAAUCUGUGAUUCAGGAAGUCGCUAAUCUGACUUCCCUGUUUUAUUUUGUGAAAAGUGAAAUCAACGUAAAGGUUUGGUGAAAUUAUCAGCUGAAUAAGCGCAAUAACCAAUAAAUCAAUUAAUCAUACGAUAAAUUAAAAUGAGCUCGAUAAUUUCCAUUUACAUGAUUUACCGUUUUUCCUCUUUUCUGUCUUUCUACCAGAAACUGCAUAACGAAAGUCUUCAGUCUGGUGCUUUGAUCUCAGCUAGCACUUAUUUGAAGGACACUUUUGUUAAAAUAAUAAUAAUAAUAAUAAUAAUUCAUUCUAUUUGUUGAUUCUGUUUGGGUUCAUUAUUAUUAUUUAAAGCGUCUUCCGGUUCCAGUUUUAAAUCUUCAUUCGAAUUUAAGUUUUAUUGAUCUUAGAUAAUGUGUUCUUGCUUUAUUAUACCUUUAUCUUGACAUUAUUUAAAUGAUCUCAAAACAACAUUGUUAUUGUUUAUCACAAUAACUUCUGGGACAAUUUAUCAUCCAGCAAAAUGUUCCACGGUGUCAGGUCAGCUGGUUAAUCAGGUCAGCUGGUUAAUCAGGUCAGCUGGUUCAGCUGGUUAAUCAGGUCAGCUGGUUCAGCUGGUUAAUCAGGUCAGCUGGUUAACCAGGUCAGCUGGUUAAUCAGGUUAUCGUGUGAAAACGAGACCAGCUGUCAAAUCUGAGUAGAAUGAAUUAUUGCGAUGGUUGAAGGUUUAAACACAUGAAAAUAAAGUUUAUUAUGAUGGUCAGCAGUUGCAGCUGGAGUCCAAACCCUGACAACGUGCUAAUGAGUAGAACAAUGGAGUGAAAUGUUGAACAUUAUAGGCAACGAGUCAUUUUAUGUCCAGGCCUGUAGGUCAUAUCUGAGCAGACUAUGUGCUAUUUCUUAAAAUGUGUAAAAGGUAAAUAAAAAAUGUUAAUUGCAUGAUGUCAGUAACAUGUUUUUUGAGGAAUAUGAAAUGAUUAAAACUUUUAAUUACAAAGAUAUUGCAAAAAAAAAAA
Molecule: non-coding RNA, 3168 nt
Organism: Poecilia reticulata (guppy)
Lineage: Eukaryota; Metazoa; Chordata; Actinopteri; Cyprinodontiformes; Poeciliidae
Source: RefSeq, a predicted model, not a curated record